This 440-nucleotide ribosomal RNA is filed under the name uncultured bacterium. RNAcentral's name for it is "partial 16S ribosomal RNA". It matches the Rfam family "Bacterial small subunit ribosomal RNA", at positions 338 to 795 of the family's 1533-position model. The record is from RNAcentral.
CCUACGGGAGGCAGCAGUGGGGGAUAUUGCACAAUGGGGGGAACCCUGAUGCAGCGACGCCGCGUGGGUGAAGAAGCGCCUCGGCGCGUAAAGCCCUGUCAGCAGGGAAGAAAAUGACGGUACCUGAAGAAGAAGCCCCGGCUAAAUACGUGCCAGCAGCCGCGGUAAUACGUAGGGGGCAAGCGUUAUCCGGAUUUACUGGGGGUAAAGGGGGCGCAGACGGCGAUGCAAGCCAGGAGUGAAAGCCGGGGGCCCAACCCCGGGACUGCUCUUGGAACUGCGUGGCGGGAGUGCAGGAGGGGCAGGCGGAAUUCCUGGUGUAGCGGUGAAAUGCGUAGAUAUAAGGAGGAACACCGGUGGCGAAGGCGGCCUGCUGGACUGCAACUGACGUUGAGGCCCGAAAGCGUGGGGAGCAAACAGGAUUAGAUACCCCUGUAGUC